UACGAAGGGGGCUAGCGUUGUUCGGAAUUACGGGGCGUAAAACGCACGUAGGCGGAUUUGUUAGUCAGGGGUGAAAUCCCGGGGCUCAACCUCGGAACUGCCUUUGAUACUGCAAGUCUAGAGUCCGGAAGAGGUGAGUGGAAUUCCUAGUGUAGAGGUGAAAUUCGUAGAUAUUAGGAAGAACACCAGUGGCGAAGGCGGCUCACUGGUCCGGUACUGACGCUGAGGUGCGAAAGCGUUGGGAGCAAACAGG
Molecule: ribosomal RNA, 253 nt
Filed under: uncultured bacterium
Lineage: Bacteria
Description: partial 16S ribosomal RNA
Rfam family: Bacterial small subunit ribosomal RNA
Source: RNAcentral